Molecule: ribosomal RNA, 253 nt
Filed under: uncultured bacterium
Lineage: Bacteria
Description: partial 16S ribosomal RNA
Rfam family: Bacterial small subunit ribosomal RNA
Source: RNAcentral
UACGAAGGGUGCUAGCGUUGCUCGGAAUCACUGGGCGUAAAGGGUGCGUAGGCGGGUUUUUAAGUCAGGGGUGAAAUCCUGGAGCUCAACUCCAGAACUGCCUUUGAUACUGAAGAUCUUGAGUUCGGGAGAGGUGAGUGGAACUGCGAGUGUAGAGGUGAAAUUCGUAGAUAUUCGCAAGAACACCAGUGGCGAAGGCGGCUCACUGGCCCGAUACUGACGCUGAUGCACGAAAGCGUGGGGAGCAAACAGG